Molecule: long non-coding RNA, 1903 nt
Organism: Manis pentadactyla (Chinese pangolin)
Lineage: Eukaryota; Metazoa; Chordata; Mammalia; Pholidota; Manidae
Exons: 2
Source: RefSeq, a predicted model, not a curated record
AAGCUCUGAAGCCAGAGCGUCUCAGGGACGGAGGCCGGAGACCCUUUCCCAGAGUCCACCACCAUCUGCUUCCCGUCAAGGGACCACCGCAGGCACGAAUUAAUGCCAGGUACACUCCUUAAAAAUAAGCCAAAACAAAGCACUUCGAUUCACAAAUGGAAGGGGCGUCGGCAGCCUAUGGGCCAGGAGUUCAGCACAUCAACCAGGAGGGCAGCCCCAGAGGCUGAGAACGACAGAGCCUGAAUCCAGAAUUUGGAUACGCAGAAGCGAACACUUAAAAAUAAGGAAGGGGGGUGGGGUGGGGGAGUGAACCCUCAGAACUGAUUUCAUCAUAAUGUAAGCAAAGUUGCAAAAUAAACAGUUAUCAUCAUUGGCAAAUUAUUGUAGCUGUAAAACUGCUCUGUCCUCAUGUGUGAUGAUACGGACCAAUAAAUUCUGCACUUUGUUAUCUCGGUGAGAUAAUUUUUUUAAAAGUAUUUUACAGCUACUUCUUGUAGUUUAUUUUUCUUUUGAAAAAUUUUAAAAUUUAAAUGUACCUUGUAGACCAUGCAAAAUAAUUACAAUUUUUCAUAAAUGGCUCACAAAUAAUUUAUGGACGUCUACAUAGAACAGCUAGAGAUUUAAUGUGUUUCCUAUAGAGAUUAUGAAGAUACUAAAAUCAAAUGUCCUAAAACCCCCACGAUUUCAAAUUUAAAUCCAGCAUUAUGCUGUUUGUGCUGCAAAGCAAGAUAAAGAUUGGUGAUUAAUUAAAACAUUUAAGGUCCCCUGACAUAGGGCAUUUGGAGUCUUCAAAGCCAAAGAUGAAGACUAAAAUUUAAAUUAAAAUGUAAUGAAAAUGAUGGUUGUUCCUCUACCGAAUUUUUCAGGGGAUGAGAAUAACAUUUAAUGAAACUGCUUUUAUAUGCAAGUGCAACUUGUUUAUUUUGACCUCAGUUCUUCGAAAUUGUUGACGCCACAAUUGAAAUAUGCUGUGUGUUCUAACAAGGACCCAGCAGUCGUAAUGACAGACCAGCCCAUCUGUGCUGUGAGAAUGUAUAAUUUCAGUCUAUAGUGGAAUUUAUAUAGAAGUGAUGAUGUGAAAACUGCUAUGUGUGGUACUUUAAAAAAACUGCUAAGAAGUAAUGGGUGCUGUGGAGAAUGCCAAUAUUUUGCUUGAUUAGAAAAAAAGAUUAUAUGGAAUUUUACUGAUCUGGGGGGGGUAGAGGUUACUACCCACGUUAAAAAACUAUUAUAACUGAUCUCAUAUAAACACCCCAGCUCUAUAAGAUACAGUAGAAAACAUGUUACUGUAUACACUAGAACUGUUAAAUUAAUGGAAUCUUGGUGGAAAAUACUAAUGCAGAAUGAAAAUGCUCAUUUGGGAAUUAAUUGAUCUUAUGUUUCUUGCCCUUACCUUGUCCAGAAAGAAAAUGAAUUAAUGUUCAGGAAAUCUAACUAGCAUUCCAGGAUUUAGGAUUCAAGUCUUGUUCACCAACAUUAAAUAUACCAAAAAAAUAAAAAAUUUAAAUAUGAGGAGGGGGCAACUAUUAAAAGCACACAUUCUUUCAAAAUGAUUAACUCUCCUUUCCUCCCAGCCCAACUUUCCAUACUCUUGGCUUUUGCCUUUAGAAGGUAUUGUACUGUUUUUACCUACUACUAUUAUUUUGUUUGAUUUGAUGCUUGUUGAGUAUUUGGGUGGUGCGAUCCUUUAGCUCACAGCAGCAGAAUGUGGCUGUCAUAAUCACGAAAGUGUUCUAAUUAUCUCAGCUAUAUACGCCUGUCUCUGCAGCCACAAACCUCCCGUAUCGACUGCCGUUUAAUCUAAGAACAAAAGCAGCCGUGAUAUUCCUCAUGUGAGCUGAGCUCAGUUUUAAUAUUUGGUGGUGUCUGCUCCAGCCAGCUGCUCAGGCGCACACAAACAGGG